CAACCUACCUUAACCAGGGGGAUAGCCUCUCGAAAGAGAGAUUAACACCGCAUAACAUUGUGAUAUGGCAUCAUAUUGCAAUCAAAUAUUUAUAGGGUUGAGAUGGGCAUGCGUGACAUUAGCUGGUUGGUAAGGUAACGGCUUACCAAGGCGACGAUGUCUAGGGGAUCUGAGAGGAUGACCCCCCACACUGGUACUGAGACACGGACCAG
Molecule: ribosomal RNA, 212 nt
Filed under: uncultured bacterium
Lineage: Bacteria
Description: partial 16S ribosomal RNA
Rfam family: Bacterial small subunit ribosomal RNA
Source: RNAcentral